Molecule: ribosomal RNA, 253 nt
Filed under: uncultured bacterium
Lineage: Bacteria
Description: partial 16S ribosomal RNA
Rfam family: Bacterial small subunit ribosomal RNA
Source: RNAcentral
UACGGAGGGUGCAAGCGUUAUCCGGAUUCACUGGGUUUAAAGGGUGCGUAGGCGGGCAGGUAAGUCCGUGGUGAAAUCUCUGAGCUUAACUCAGAAACUGCCAUGGAUACUAUUUGUCUUGAAUAUUGUGGAGGUGAGCGGAAUAUGUCAUGUAGCGGUGAAAUGCUUAGAUAUGACAUAGAACACCAAUUGCGAAGGCAGCUCACUACACAAAUAUUGACGCUGAGGCACGAAAGCGUGGGGAUCAAACAGG